This 1503-nucleotide long non-coding RNA is filed under the name Phaseolus vulgaris (common bean). Its description in RNAcentral is "long non-coding RNA (PVUL_LNC004672)". Lineage: Eukaryota; Viridiplantae; Streptophyta; Magnoliopsida; Fabales; Fabaceae. The record is from RNAcentral.
UGUCAAAAAAUAUCUCAUCAACAGGUCCUAGAAGAUCAAUUCCAGGUUUUAGUUCAAUUGCUGGCUGAUCGGUCUCUGCCUCGGAUGAUACAAAUGCAAUAAAUUUUCCCUUUGGAGCAACAUUGUGAGUGUAUGAGCAACAAAAUAGGUACCUGCAAAGGAUAACAUAAAAGAACAUUCGAUUUAAAAAAAAAUACAAUUUAAAUAUCAAAUCAUAUUCGAUUUAAAAAAAAUACAAUUUAAAUAUCAAAUCAUAUUUGAUUUAAUUACCUUCCAAGUUGAAGGUUUCCACUGGCCUUACAAGAUCAUAACUUUUUCAUGGCAUUAUUUACUACAUUUUAAUAAAAGCUUAAGAUUACAUUUAUAACUGUUGAAAUGAAAUUAUAUAGUCUAUAUAUGAAAAGGGAGGAAAAGAGAAAACUAAAGGACAAUAUGGAAGGAGAUUGAUACCUAAUGGUCAUUUAUACCAAUAGUUUAGGUCAAUUACUAGAACAAUACAAAUAGUAGAACCAAGGCCCAGUAGGACUGUUAAGAUCAUGAGACUCCAAAAAUAAGAAUCCAAAUAUUCUACAACUUUGCUUUAUCCAAAAUGCUCAGGAGAUGCCUUAUUCAGCAAUGCAUGGGGUUCAUAUCUUUUGGGCUGUUAUUAUCUUUCUGCAUGUUUAUUUGUAACAAAUUGAGAGUAACCAAUGACAGCUAAAGUAAAGAAUGGGCAGCACAGGUAGGAAUGUUGCUUAGGUCAAGGAAGUGAAAUGAUGGGAAAAUAAAAAGAUGUGGAGUUGAAAUUUCUAUUCAAGAAAUUGUACAGCAAGGUCAUUCUUCUCCAAAUCCAUAAAAAUAUGUGGAAGGUCCAAACAGCAAUAGUAUCCCCAAAAUUGACUUUGGAAGGCCAAGAAUCACUCAGCAUUUUAUACAGCUCAAAAGAAAAUCACGGCAGAACAAUAAAGAUAAUAGGUAUAGUCUAAGCUUGUAUUCAUCAUAUUGAAUUUACCACGCAAAGGUGCUGUUCAAUAUUAAUUGUUUGUAAUGUUGAAAUACAAUGUACAUGUCAUAUAUAUAUAUAUAUAUAUAUAUAUAUAUAUAUAUAUAUAUAUGCAAAUUGUCAUCCGAUUCAGUGAUUUUACCUCUACUUCAAUGAAAUUCAUUACAUUAACAAUUUAUACAAUAAAUAAAAUCGAAGCAACAAACUUCAUGCUGAAAAUAUUUGAUUAUUUUCAUGAUUAGUAACAAAAAUAACUCAGAUGAAACUGAAGGAUUUAGCUUCAUUCAAGCACAGCUAACGCUAAUUAAUGGUCCCAGUAGCAUGAAACAUAUGUAUCUAUAAUGCAACAGAUUCUCAGCAAAUUUAACUAUAAUAUAUAUAUAUAUUAAGAAGCUGCAUGGAAACUUACAUGUCCGACUUCCGACCCAACUGCUUCUGAGGUAAAAUAAUUUGCACCGAAUGGGAAUCAUCAGUGCUGGGGAUUGGGUGGCUCAUGAUGGCUAUUGCCCUUGCAACCUUAC